RNAcentral lists this ribosomal RNA (253 nucleotides) under uncultured bacterium. RNAcentral describes it as "partial 16S ribosomal RNA". It matches the Rfam family "Bacterial small subunit ribosomal RNA", at positions 524 to 776 of the family's 1533-position model. The record is from RNAcentral.
UACGUAGGGUGCAAGCGUUAAUCGGAAUUACUGGGCGUAAAGCGUGCGCAGGCGGUUUUGUUAGUUUUUCGUGAAAUCCCCGGGCGCAACCUGGGCAUGGCGAUGAAGACUGCAAGGCUAGAAUCUGGCAGAGGGGGGUAGAAUUCCACGUGUAGCAGUGAAAUGCGUAGAUAUGCGGAGGAACACCGAUGGCGAAGGCAAUCCCCUGGACCUGUACUGACGCUCAUGCACGAAAGCGUGGGGAGCAAACAGG